AGCUCCAAUAGCGUAUAUUAAAGUUGUUGCGGUUAAAGCUCGUAGUUGGAUUUCUGUCGAGGACGCGCGGUCCACGCUUUGCGUGAGCAUCUGUGUCGGCCUUGGCAUCCUCUAGAGGAUCGUUUCUGCGCUUGAUUGCGUGGAGCGGAACUCUAGACUUUUACUUUGAGGAAUUAGAGUGUUCACGGCAGGCAAACGCCUUGAAUACAUUAGCAUGGAAUAAUAACAUAGGACCUUGGUUCUAUUUUGUUGGUUUCUAGAGCUGAGGUAAUGAUUAAUAGGGAUAAUUGGGGGCAUUCGUAUUAACGCGUCAGAGGUGGAAUUCUUGGAUUGCGUUACGACGAACUACUGCGAAAGCAUUUGCCAAGGAUGUUUUCAUUGAUCAAG
RNAcentral lists this ribosomal RNA (387 nucleotides) under uncultured eukaryote. Its description in RNAcentral is "SSU rRNA". It matches the Rfam family "Eukaryotic small subunit ribosomal RNA", at positions 587 to 981 of the family's 1831-position model. The record is from RNAcentral.